RNAcentral lists this ribosomal RNA (222 nucleotides) under uncultured Glomeromycotina. RNAcentral's name for it is "partial small subunit ribosomal RNA". It matches the Rfam family "Eukaryotic small subunit ribosomal RNA", at positions 569 to 806 of the family's 1831-position model. Lineage: Eukaryota; Fungi; Glomeromycota. The record is from RNAcentral.
AGCAGCCGCGGUAAUUCCAGCUCCAAUAGCGUAUAUAAAGUGUGCAGUAAAAGCUCGUAUGAAUUCGGGAUUCAUACGUUGGUCGGGCUUUUUGGUCUGUACUUAUGUAAUGGAUUCCACCUUCUGAAUAACCGGCAUGCCAUUAAUUUGGUGCGCCGGGGAAGCAGGACUGUUACCUGAAAAAUUAGAGUGCUUAAAGCAGGCUAUCGCCUGAAUACAUUA